AGAGUUUGAUCCUGGCUCAGGAUGAACGCUGGCGGUAUGCUUAACACAUGCAAGUCGAACGGUGCUUUAGGGCACAGUGGCGGACGGGUGAGUAACGCGUGAGAAUCUGGCUUUACUGGGACAACCACUGGAAACGGUGGCUAAUACCGGAUGUGCCGAAAGGUGAAAGGUUAACUGCCUGAAGAUGAGCUCGCGUCUGAUUAGCUAGUAGGUGUGGUAAAGGCGCACCUAGGCGACGAUCAGUAGCUGGUCUGAGAGGACGAUCAGCCACACUGGGACUGAGACACGGCCCAGACUCCUACGGGAGGCAGCAGUGGGGAAUUUUCCGCAAUGGGCGAAAGCCUGACGGAGCAAUCCGCGUGAGGGAGGAAGGCUCUUGGGUCGUAANNCUCUUUUCUCAGGGAAGAACACAAUGACGGUACCUGAGGAAUAAGCAUCGGCUAACUCCGUGCCAGCAGCCGCGGUAAUACGGAGGAUGCAAGCGUUAUCCGGAAUGAUUGGGCGUAAAGCGUCCGCAGGUGGCUGUGUAAGUCUGCUGUUAAAGAGUCUAGCUCAACUAGAUAAGAGCAGUGGAAACUACACGGCUAGAGUACGUUCGGGGCAGAGGGAAUUCCUGGUGUAGCGGUGAAAUGCGUAGAGAUCAGGAAGAACACCAGUGGCGAAGGCGCCUGCUAGGCCGUAACUGACACUGAGGGACGAAAGCUAGGGGAGCGAAUGGGAUUAGAUACCCUAGUAGUCC
This 739-nucleotide ribosomal RNA is filed under the name uncultured bacterium. Its description in RNAcentral is "bacterial SSU rRNA". It matches the Rfam family "Bacterial small subunit ribosomal RNA", at positions 8 to 796 of the family's 1533-position model. The record is from RNAcentral.